GACGAACGCUGGCGGCGUGCUUAACACAUGCAAGUCGAACGAGGUCCACCGCGUAGCAAUACAAGGGAAGACCUAGUGGCGAACGGGUGCGUAACACGUGAGGAACUUGUCCCGGUCUCUGGGAUAACAGUUGGAAACGACUGCUAAUACCGGAUGACGUCGGAGCAUCGCAUGGUGCGCUGACGAAAGGGUUACUGGAUCGGGAGAGCCUCGCGGCCUAUCAGCUUGUUGGUGGGGUAACGGCCUACCAAGGCAUCGACGGGUAGCUGGUCUGAGAGGAUGAUCAGCCACACUGGGACUGAGACACGGCCCAGACUCCUACGGGAGGCAGCCAGUGGGGAAUCUUGCGCAAUGGGCGAAAGCCUGACGCAGCAACGCCGCGUGCGGGAAGAAGGCCCUCGGGUGUAAACCGCUUUCAGCAGGAACGAAAAUAGACGGUACUUGCAGAAGAAGGUGCGGCCAAC
This 464-nucleotide ribosomal RNA is filed under the name uncultured bacterium. Its description in RNAcentral is "bacterial SSU rRNA". It matches the Rfam family "Bacterial small subunit ribosomal RNA", at positions 28 to 501 of the family's 1533-position model. The record is from RNAcentral.